CAGGCCUAACCAUGCAAGUCGUGCGGGAAAGUCUCCUUCGAAGGGCAAGUACAGCGGCGACGGGUGAGUAACACGUAGGUAACCUACUCGAGAGACUGGGAUAACCUGCGAAAGGCGGGCUAAUACCAGAUAAGACCACGAGGGCCACGGUCCUCGCGCAAAAGGUGGCCUCUGCUUGCAAGCUACCACUCAUGAAUGGGCCUGCGGCCAUUAGCUAGUUGGCGGGGUAACGGCCCACCAAGGCGAAGAUGGCUACUGGUCUGAGAGGAUGAUCAGCCACACUGGGACUGAGACACGGCCCAGAUCCUACGGGAGGCAGCAGUGGGGAAUUUUGCACAAUGGGCGAAAGCCUGCGCAGCGACGCCGCGUGGGUGAUGAAGGCCUUCGGGUCGUAAAGCCCUGCGGGAGGGAAGAAACCUCGGCGAUCGAAUAGCUCGUCGAUCUGACGGGUCUCCUAGGGAAGCACCGGCUAACUCCGUGCCAGCAGCCGCGGUAAU
This 497-nucleotide ribosomal RNA is filed under the name uncultured bacterium. RNAcentral describes it as "bacterial SSU rRNA". It matches the Rfam family "Bacterial small subunit ribosomal RNA", at positions 43 to 524 of the family's 1533-position model. The record is from RNAcentral.